RNAcentral lists this transfer RNA (71 nucleotides) under Candidatus Micrarchaeota archaeon CG_4_10_14_0_2_um_filter_55_9. RNAcentral describes it as "tRNA-Gly". It matches the Rfam family "tRNA". Rfam says of the family: Transfer RNA (tRNA) molecules are approximately 80 nucleotides in length. Their secondary structure includes four short double-helical elements and three loops (D, anti-codon, and T loops). The record is from RNAcentral. Lineage: Archaea; Nanobdellati; Microcaldota.
GCGGCCGUGGUCUAAUGGCAUGAUUCGAGCUUCCCAAGCUCGCGGCCCGGGUCCGAUUCCCGGCGGCCGCA